GAUGAACGCUGGCGGCGUGCCUAAUACAUGCAAGUCGAGCGAACAGACGAGGAGCUUGCUCCUCUGACGUUAGCGGCGGACGGGUGAGUAACACGUGGAUAACCUACCUAUAAGACUGGGAUAACUUCGGGAAACCGGAGCUAAUACCGGAUAAUAUAUUCAACCGCAUGGUUCAAUAGUGAAAGACGGUUUUGCUGUCACUUAUAGAUGGAUCCGCGCCGCAUUAGCUAGUUGGUAAGGUAGCGGCUUACCAAGGCAACGAUGCGUAGCCGACCUGAGAGGGUGAUCGGCCACACUGGAACUGAGACACGGUCCAGACUCCUACGGGAGGCGGCAGUAGGGAAUAUUCCGCAAAGGGCGAAAGCCUGACGGAGCAACGCCGCGUGAGUGAUGAAGGUCUUCGGAUCGUAAAACUCUGUUAUUAGGGAAGAACAAAUGUGUAAGUAACUAUGCACGUCUUGACGGUACCUAAUCAAAAAGCCACGGCUAACUACGUG
This 497-nucleotide ribosomal RNA is filed under the name uncultured bacterium. RNAcentral's name for it is "partial 16S ribosomal RNA". It matches the Rfam family "Bacterial small subunit ribosomal RNA", at positions 28 to 507 of the family's 1533-position model. The record is from RNAcentral.